AUCAUCAAGAAUCUGCAAUAUAAGAAUUUGAAAGUUACCUAGUUUGUGGAAUAAUCAAACACAGCAGUGUAGCAACAAAAAACUCAGCAGCAAAUACAGUAGAAACAACAGCAACUCAAGUGUUAAGACAAAAAAGAAAACUCAACAAAGAUGCUUGAAACUGGUAGCUAUCAACUUCACAAAUUGCCUAAAGGAUCUUUCUAUGUUUCUUGAGGUUUUUGCACUCAAAUAAUUCUCACAAAACUCUGAAAUUUUAGCUUGUUAUAUGUAUUAAGCUGCUGAUUUUUCUCAAAGAUAUAUGUCUUUAAACAACUCUCCAAGAUGUGUCUCAGUAUAAGAUAGAGUGUGUAAUAGAGUGUCCCUCCCUUUUCAGUGAGUAAAGAGCCCUUUAAAUAGGCAAAUAAAUCAGAUUUUUUGGACAGAUUUUGGUUCAUUAAAAGUCUGUCCAAAAGACUGACUUUGUAUGCUAAACACUGUUCAAAAGCUAUCAAAAAAGUAUUGUGCUUGUCACCACACAAUGAUUUUUGAGUUUUCCACUCCAAAGUCUUUGCACAGUAAAAACAACCAAAUUUGUAUUAUUCCUUCUUUAAUUUCAGCUUUUAUCAACACAAAAAUUCAAAUACUCAAAUCUAAUAAAAGCAAAUUCACUAAGCACUUGAAACUUCUAUCAUAAACUAUCAUGACCAAGCAAAUAGCCAUUUUAAAACUAAUGAAUAACUAAUUAUCAGUGAUUAAUAACUAUGAACGACUAAGCUAACAUAGAUUAAACAUAACUAAUAAUAAAAAUAUAAAUAAUAAUAAUAAAAAUAAAUAAAUAAAUAAAAUCAGAAAUUAUGCUAGACAUAAACUAAAUACAAUACAAUUAGAAAAAAUAGACAAAGGAAAUGAGAAUAGGGGUAUACCAAACGAAGGUGUUCGGGGUAGUCGCCGGAAUUUGGCCGGAUUUUUAGUUGCCGAAUUUUUGGGAUGGAAUUGACAUCAAUAGGUAGGUCUUGAUGAGCUCUAUCCGUUGAUGUAGGUAUUGUGGGACGGUAGUGGCCGGAACUUCAAGCUUUUGGGCAAAAAAGUGGCGGCUAAAGUAUCCUAAAUCUAAAAUUCAAGGCAUUUGAGGGGGUUUUGAAGGAUUUGAUUUGGAGAUAUGGAAAGAGGAGGUUGUAGAGAUUACAUGGUGUGAAUUUGUGGGUGUUUGGAGGUUGGCCGCCGCCGGUGGCUGAUUUCCGGCGGCGGAGAGAAGAGAGAGAAGAGAGAGAAGAGAGAGAGAAGGGAGAAAGAGUUAUG
Molecule: long non-coding RNA, 1278 nt
Filed under: Nicotiana tabacum (common tobacco)
Lineage: Eukaryota; Viridiplantae; Streptophyta; Magnoliopsida; Solanales; Solanaceae
Description: long non-coding RNA (NTAB_LNC014523)
Source: RNAcentral